This 60-nucleotide transfer RNA is filed under the name Ligia oceanica (common sea slater). RNAcentral describes it as "tRNA-Glu". Lineage: Eukaryota; Metazoa; Arthropoda; Malacostraca; Isopoda; Ligiidae. The record is from RNAcentral.
UUUCCGGAGGUGUCUAACACAUUACUGUUUCAGAGUAAAGAGGGAGAAUUCCCCGGAACA